Molecule: transfer RNA, 77 nt
Filed under: Acidithiobacillus thiooxidans
Lineage: Bacteria; Pseudomonadati; Pseudomonadota; Acidithiobacillia; Acidithiobacillales; Acidithiobacillaceae
Also listed under: 1 other name
Description: tRNA-Lys
Rfam family: tRNA
About the family: Transfer RNA (tRNA) molecules are approximately 80 nucleotides in length.
Source: RNAcentral
GGACGUGUAGCUCAGUUGGCCAGAGCAAUCGGCUCUUAACCGAUGGGUCGUGGGUUCGAAUCCCACCGCGUCCACCA